GCUUGUAGGGGGGAUGGAUUUGCUGUUAAAAACUGAAGGAUGACAAGGUGUCACUUUCAUUCCCUCUUUACCGCUUCCAUGGAAGUCACAGCCCCCGAGCAGAUUAAAGCAUGACCCACAGGUGUAAUAGAUUUUAACUCUGGAAUUUCAGUUCUUCAGUGUCCCACCGAGUUUUCUCUGAGGGAGUCAUUUAAUCAACCACUUCACUGCCUGCAGGUUGACACUGAUGCCUGUCACAUGUACCAUAAGCCAUAGGAGUGACCAGAGCUGCCCAGACGGACCGCCCGGGCCCAGUCCUGGUAUUGUCAGCAGAUUACCCUUAAAGGAGAAAGAAGCUGGAGCUGGGAUAUAAAGUAGUCUUCUAGGAGUACUGCCAGAACCGAUCUGUUUUUACUCUGCUGCUGCUGCUGUUGCUGUUCUGCUGUGUCAUGGGAAGAGAGUUACCUAGCCCACACCAACCCUCAGAAACAGCAAUGAGCCACUUGCUGCAAACUCGAGCUGUGUUUUAUAGGGCUGAAGGAUGAGUUUUCCUGGUGCAGGAUUUCAACUGGAAGAAGAAGGAUUCACUCCCUUGCUGGGCUCCGACAGGGACAUCGCUGUUGGGAGACUUGCAGGAGGCAGAGUGGCGGCGGCAGCACUGACAGUGCAGCAUCACACAGCUUUAUUUCAUGUUGUCGAGGCAAAAUGCUUUAGGUUACAGCUGAGGAGAAAAGCAAAACGAUCCAUUUUUGUAAAUAGGGUUCUUUUUCCCCAAUUUACUUUAAAUUCUUGAAAGGUCUUGUGCUAAGAAAGAGCAGGAAUUCUGCCUCCUCUUAAAAAGCAUUGUUAUAAAAUCUUUACAGUCUCCUUCCACCUGAGCCUGUUUCCUUCAAACUCUUGCUUUCAAAAACAAGAGGUUUAAAGGUGACUCUUCUCUUUCCCUUCCUAAGUUUAUGUUCCUUGGAAAGGCCUGAAUAAGCCAAAGGCUGUGUCUGCCUGUGAAUGAAGAAGUUUUGAGUAAACACCAGCAUGCACGUAUACACACAUGCACAGGAUUUAAAGCAUCCCAUUGAAGUGCACAUAUAGGAAAAUCUUUCAUCAUAUGGUAGGCUUUAAUAUCUGCCUUAAAAUUAAUCCCUGACUGAUGGACUCUGUUGUGGCAGAUCACAGGAGGCUCAGUACUGAGGUUCUCUGCAGGGUUUUAAAACAGCCAAAUAAAAUCCCCCCAUUUGCUUUUGGGUUAAUUUGUGGUUUAACAGCAGCUACCUGGGAAAUGCUCAUCUUGUGAGAGCAAGUAAGAAAACUUUAUAAGGCUCCAGUCCUAUUUUUCCACAACGAAAUAAAGACCUUUCUUAUGGGGUCAGGACAAGAUCUGAUGCUAUUCCACGAGGAAAUGGUUAAAGCACCCUGCAGAGUUCUUCAGUUCCUCUGUUAGAGGUAACACCCCUGGGCUUUAUUAGAGCUCGAGCUUCGGACACGGUUCUGGUUACUUCUCAGCAUUGUCUUUGCUUCAUUUUGGUUAGUUUUUGUCACUGAAAACAAAUCUUCUCGUUUCACUUCUCUUUCUAAUUUAUUUCACUCUUUAGUUCCCACAUGUUAGAAAGUGCAGUUUCAUUUCGGCUCUUGACAGCAGAAAGCCCCAUUCCAGAAAGCAAUUUUCAGCAAUGUAUUUGCUUUGCCACUCACUGCGCAAACAGAUCUAAGCAUAAACAAUGCUGACAGGCCCUCAAAACCAAGCCCAAAUUGUGAAACUGGGGCAAAUAGCCUAGAGAACCUGAAAUGUUUUGGGUUUAAAACACUGCCUGCUGUCAAAAAGAGGGUAAAAUAAAGCUUUGUUUACGUGUAGAGCUCAGUGUUUGUUGAUCAAGUUUCUAAGGUGAUGUAGCAGGAAGUACUGAUCUUAGGCAAAAUGACAUGAACAAAGCAUGAAACUAUAAUUCAGCAGCUAUUUGUCAACUAAUAACAGGAAAAUAAAGGAUGUUUAAAAAGC
Long non-coding RNA from Pezoporus flaviventris, 1969 nucleotides. RefSeq lists it as uncharacterized. The transcript is spliced from 2 exons. The record is from RefSeq and is a predicted model, not a curated record. Lineage: Eukaryota; Metazoa; Chordata; Aves; Psittaciformes; Psittacidae.